RNAcentral lists this transfer RNA (73 nucleotides) under Ailuropoda melanoleuca (giant panda). RNAcentral's name for it is "tRNA-Lys (CTT) (tRNA-Lys-CTT-14-1)". It matches the Rfam family "tRNA". From Rfam's summary of the family: Transfer RNA (tRNA) molecules are approximately 80 nucleotides in length. Their secondary structure includes four short double-helical elements and three loops (D, anti-codon, and T loops). Further hydrogen bonds mediate the characteristic L-shaped molecular structure. tRNAs have two regions of fundamental functional importance: the anti-codon, which is responsible for specific mRNA codon recognition, and the 3' end, to which the tRNAs corresponding amino acid is attached (by aminoacyl-tRNA synthetases). tRNAs cope with the degeneracy of the genetic code in two manners: having more than one tRNA (with a specific anti-codon) for a particular amino acid; and 'wobble' base-pairing, i.e. permitting non-standard base-pairing at the 3rd anti-codon position. RNAcentral also lists the same sequence under 1 other name. The record is from Rfam by way of RNAcentral. Lineage: Eukaryota; Metazoa; Chordata; Mammalia; Carnivora; Ursidae.
ACCUGGCUGGCUCAGUCGGUAGAGCAUGUGACUCUUGAUCUCAGGGUCAUGAGUUCCAGCCCCAUGUUGGGUG